GGGAAUGUGGCUUAGUGGUAGAGUGUUUGCCUAGCACGCAUGAAGCCCUGGGUUCAAUUCCUCAGUACCA
RNAcentral lists this transfer RNA (70 nucleotides) under Dipodomys ordii (Ord's kangaroo rat). It matches the Rfam family "tRNA". Rfam says of the family: Transfer RNA (tRNA) molecules are approximately 80 nucleotides in length. The record is from Rfam by way of RNAcentral. Lineage: Eukaryota; Metazoa; Chordata; Mammalia; Rodentia; Heteromyidae.